UACGUAGGGGGCAAGCGUUAUCCGGAUUUACUGGGUGUAAAGGGAGCGUAGACGGUUACGCAAGUCUGGAGUGAAAGGCGGGGGCCCAACCCCCGGACUGCUUUGGAAACUGGUUGACUUGAGUGCAGAAGAGGGAAGUGGAAUUCCAUGUGUAGCGGUGAAAUGCGUAGAGAUAUGGAGGAACACCAGUGGCGAAGGCGGCUUCCUGGUCUGCAACUGACACUGAGGCGCGAAAGCGUGGGGAGCAAACAGG
This 253-nucleotide ribosomal RNA is filed under the name uncultured Eubacteriales bacterium. RNAcentral's name for it is "uncultured Clostridiales bacterium partial 16S ribosomal RNA". It matches the Rfam family "Bacterial small subunit ribosomal RNA", at positions 524 to 776 of the family's 1533-position model. Lineage: Bacteria; Bacillati; Bacillota; Clostridia; Eubacteriales. The record is from RNAcentral.